Molecule: long non-coding RNA, 1209 nt
Organism: Patella vulgata (common limpet)
Lineage: Eukaryota; Metazoa; Mollusca; Gastropoda; Patellidae
Exons: 2
Source: RefSeq, a predicted model, not a curated record
CCAUACGACGUCAAAUCUAUGAGUUGUAUACUAGUAGAUGUUAUUUGUGUGAAAAAUCACUAGAAGAAGGGAGAGCACGUUAUGGCUGUACGGAUUAUAUAGUCCUACAGGCUGCAAGAAGGAAACAAUGCUGAUCAUAAUGUGUUGACAUUUGUUCGUUGAUGUGAUUGUUGGACAUACGGAGUGGACUGGAAAUACAAACAAUGCUAGUUUGGUAAAUGUACAUGUACAUCGUAGACUAGAAAGUGGGAAAAGACUGACGUUAUCUUAUCUGAAUUUAACCCGUUUAUCAAGAAUCCUGAACUGCCCGUACCAUUUGUCCUACAGAUAAUGGCGUUGGCAAUGAAAUCCAGGCUGGUCGCAUUGAUUUAGGACUAUGAUAAGUUAAAGGUUUUAUCAAGGAUGGUUUUUAACCAACUGCGGCAUACAACAUCUGUUUAUGCAAGAAAUACAAUAAAGCCAAGACAAAAUUUGUUUUAAUGCAAGACUGAUACUGCUACACCAAGAAUUAUAUCAGAUUUCUACAAUAUGAUACAAUACUUAAAAUCUUGUAUAUAAGAACACUUAUUGACCCCCCCCCCCCCCCACACACACACACACACACACCUUUGGUUAAAAUAGGUACAGUUUUGAUAAAUUGUAAUGAAAUGAGACAUUGGGUGUGGAACAUCUUUUUCUUGUACAGAUACCAUUUUCUUACCAGUAAUCAUAAACAAACUGUUAAAGUUUAAGAAGAAAAACAACAAUCAGUGGAGAAUCAAAUUUAUCAAUCAACAAAAUAAUAAAUCAUGUGACAGAUCAAGAAAAAGAGGAUUUAACUGUGUACAUAUACAAUUCUACAUGUAUACCAAAUACAUGGUUUAUGACCUAGCUAGAGUACUACUAAUCAGCUGAUCAAUUAAUGGUACAUUUACUUCAAAUUUAAAUUAUUAUAAACAUCAAGUGGUUUCCACUUGAAGUCUAUUUAACAUAUGGAUGUGGACCAAGGCCUAUAUAAACAAAUAUUUGUUAGUGCAACAUACAGUUCAAAAGACAAAUAAAACACUUAUUAUUCACUUUGACAUAUUCGAUCAUUUGCACUGUGUUUGUGUACUGUUCGCAGUAGGCUUAAUUGUUGCAGAUCCACUCGGAAUGGAUUUGGGUUUUAAGUAUAAUUAAAUAUACUGUUUAAUCAUAAGAAUAAAUAAACCAAUAAAAAGGUUUGCAGAA